This is a non-coding RNA of Enterococcus villorum ATCC 700913, 145 nucleotides long. Lineage: Bacteria; Bacillati; Bacillota; Bacilli; Lactobacillales; Enterococcaceae. The record is from Rfam.
AUUUAAGGAAUAGCGCCUGAUCUGUAAAAACAGAUGACGAGGAUAGGUUUUAUCGAAAUAUUCGGCGGAUGGCCCUAGGGACUGCACUCUACAGAAUAAAAAAAACUAUCUGUGAAGGUAGAACAAAUAAUAUUCAUGCAGCUGG